CGGGAGGUAAUGUCUGGGAAACUGCCUGAUGGAGGGGGAUAACUACUGGAAACGGUAGCUAAUACCGCAUAACGUCGCAAGACCAAAGUGGGGGACCUUCGGGCCUCAUGCCAUCAGAUGUGCCCAGAUGGGAUUAGCUAGUAGGUGGGGUAACGGCUCACCUAGGCGACGAUCCCUAGCUGGUCUGAGAGGAUGACCAGCCACACUGGAACUGAGACACGGUCCAG
This 227-nucleotide ribosomal RNA is filed under the name uncultured bacterium. RNAcentral's name for it is "partial 16S ribosomal RNA". It matches the Rfam family "Bacterial small subunit ribosomal RNA", at positions 103 to 334 of the family's 1533-position model. The record is from RNAcentral.